Molecule: long non-coding RNA, 383 nt
Organism: Manduca sexta (tobacco hornworm)
Lineage: Eukaryota; Metazoa; Arthropoda; Insecta; Lepidoptera; Sphingidae
Exons: 3
Source: RefSeq, a predicted model, not a curated record
CACAAAUGUCACACAGAGCAAUCAAAUUGUCAUUCUCAUAAAAUAUUCUAAAAUGUGCAAAAGUUUUGAAACGUGGACAUGGCGUAUGACUUGCCUGGCUACAUCGUGCGGUUAUAUUUUAAUUUCGUUUUUAUUUGGGCCGGUGCAUACAGUGUACUACUUAACAGGUAAAACCCCGGAUCUAGAAGAAUUAUUCGAGACAGAGAAGGACUACGCGUUAUUCCUUCUGUUCAUAAUGAUUACGAUGUGGUAUCUCUUCUUCGCCUACAUUACUUUGUUAAUAGAUUGGCUCUGAUGUACGUGUUUUUUUAUUUAUUUUUGAUGGCAUCGCGUGUUAUUCUUCAAUUCCUCUUUUGAUAAUUGUAAAACGAUAUAUACGACAA